UGAAGAAUGAGUGCCCCUUUAAGUUGAAGAUGGAUGGUACUCAGCCCCCAGAUUUAAACAGGAUUCCGAGUAACUUUCUUGUGUUCACAAAGAAAGUAAGCAGGAGAACAAGGAAAAACUCAUUCCAUGGGCUUCUGAAAUCCCACCUGGAGAUUUGGGCCCCCUAAGCAAGUAUGUGGUCUUUCAAGUUCUCUUGGCAUCCGAAAGUUGGCAUCUGCUCCCUUAUACACAUCAUCCUCGCCAUUAAACAUAGUGCAAGCGAUUAAAGCUGCUAGGGUAAAAAACAAGUUUCAGUAUAACUAAAAUGGGAUUUCUUUUACUAACUAAAAUAAAGGAGAAUGUAAUAAAGUACUUUUGGAGAAAUAUUUUGUUCUAUAUUUUAAGAGAAAUGUAUGAGGGAUUGAAGAAAAAAUGAUCAUUAUAAGAAUAAGUUUUGAACUGUUUGAGCUACAGAAACGUGUCUUUUUGGCCUUUUUAUUUAGCCAUUUGUCUCAACAGACGUAAAACUUUUUAAAAAUAUGUUUAUGAUUAAAUUUUCAUAAUAUGAAAAUGGCGUGGGGACUAUAAAGAUGAAUAUGGAAAAACUUACAUGUAUUUGGCAUUACAAUAUGCCUGAGUGCUUUACAUAUCUUAUCUGGUUUGAUUCUCACACACACAUAGGGAUAAAGAAGCAAACUUAGAAAAGUAACAGUUGGUAGUGGGACAUGGAGAUGAGGCUAGGUCUGCCUGAUCUUAAACUUCCCAGCUCCCAGAACUGUGAGAAACAAGUUUCUCCCGUUGAAGACACUCAGUCUAUGGUUUUCCAUCAUAGCAGCCCGAGCUGACCAAGACACUCUCCCUGCUCUGCAGCCUGGAAACUCUCUUCAAUAGCCUGGAAAAUCACAGAUCUCAUCUCACUUGUCUUACUUCUCUCAAGGAUCACUGUCCAGCUCUGCCUUUUGUCAAUGUCUGAAAACCGUUAGUUGUUCCAUAUAUUUUGUCUAGCUUUUCAGUUCUUGAAUGAAAUAGGAUAAAUUAGUUCCUGAUACGCCAAUGAUAGCCAGAAGCAAAAGAUGACAGGUUGAACUUUACAAGCUUCCAUUAUCACAAUCAAGACAGCUCUAUUCUUUUGUGUCAAAAUGCACCCUAGACAUUUUAGUUUUCUCUGAACACUUCGUUUAACUUAUCUAAAGUCAUGUAGGCCAGGUUUUUCCCUUAGGAGCAAAGACCUGCUCCCUGGGGGCUCUGCAUUCCUGGAUACAUAAUGGGUGUGGUCAUUUUAUUUGGUUCAGUGAUCUGCAGUACACAUUUAUUGACCUUCAAUUAAUCCUCUGGUUUUCAGUCCCACUUUUCCCUCCUGCCUCUUGCUUUACCUGCUGCCUCUCAGCUCAGAGACUCUCCAGAGUUCUUUGAAGUGAAUUGGCUUCCCCUCACUUUGUAGCUUCUUCUGAGCAUUCUCAAGGCUUCAGUGUCUCUGCCUGCUCCGUCUAUUAACCUGCCUGUUUUCUUAUUUCCAAAGGUGGGUUAAGAUGUUUCAUUCAUUCUCAUUCUUUCAGUGUUUAUUUUUUUCUCCAUUUCUUUUAAUUUGUGAGGGGAGGUGGUACAUUUUGGUGAUGCAGAAUGUAAAGCGUGUGCCCAUCCAUUAUCAUCUCUUGGCUUUUCAAAAUAGACUCCCUUCAAUUUGUGUCACACCACUGAUUUUUUCUACUUUAGGGGAGUUUAAAUUUAUUACUGUUUACAAAUUUUAUUUUCACGUUUCUUUACGGAUUGGAAUGGAUGCCUAUUUCCAUCUAAGAUGAUUUCAUUCUUGUUUCCUGUGUCAUGCUUUUCACUUAUGAUAUAAAGUGCUUGUGCUGCAUUGGAUUACCCACUGAGAUAUCCUGGGAAUCCAACUUUUCUGACCCCAAUCCCAACACCCUCACCUCCUCCAGUAACCAGCUGUUCUUAUUCUCAUACUCAGGGGAUAUAUCAUCUGGGUAAAUAAAUUUAUGGAUCCUUCUCUCCUCUUGAGCAAGGGCAACUUCCACAUUUUUCAAGCUUCAGCCCCCUUCAGAAACUCAAAUUGAAAUCACAUAUGGUUCCAGUCCCAGAAGAGGUAGGAGUUCUGUCAGCUAGACUGUUUCUGGAAUAAAGGUUUAGACCAUUGAGCCACCUCAAACACUGAUUCUAUGUAAACUGGAGUAAUAGGGUCAAGGAAAUAUUGCUCUGAAAGUCUAGUCAUUCUAAAUCACACCUAAUAAUGACUGCUCACAUUCCAUAAAGUGAGCCCCAAAGAUGAGGACAAUAACUGAAGUUAGGAAGCAAUUCUUAAUUAAACACAAAUCUCAGCUAAUGGCUGUUUUACAAGAAGUAUAUACUUCAACAAUAUGUGGGUUUGUAAAGGUAAAGCCAUAGAAGGGAUAUUUUAUAUGUUUCAUUGAAUUAUUUUUCACCAACAAUCCCAAAGCUAAUUCUUACUCUUUUUCUCUUAGUAAGCUUUGAUAGCUUCUACUUGAACAUUCGAUUACCUUAUCUUUUUUUGUUGUUGUUGCAAAAAUAAGAUGGAUCUGCCCUAUGUGGAAGAAAACAACUAUCCUGAGAUUAUAGCUGAAGGUCCAGCAAUUUGUAAAGUGAGUGCAUCUUAUUGCACCCUCUGCUCUCCUGAUGAGCGAGAAGAUGACAGAUCUAGGUCCAUAGUCCUCUGCCCAGCCUGCAUAUGGGUGUGAAGGGAAAGACUAGGACCAAAACUAUCAGGGUCACAUCCCUUUUCUUAGCUGUGCGAUACUGGGGGAGAGGUACAAACUGAGAAUAGGAGUCAUCACACAGAUAUGCUUCUCCUCUUUUCAUCUUCAGUCUUCACAUCUCUAAUACACCAAGGGAUCAUAAAAUUCUGCAACCACAUAAAAGUACCCUCAGGAAAAAACAUUAAGCUACACUUUCCCUGAGAUAUCUCACCCCUCU
This is a long non-coding RNA of Equus caballus (horse), 2919 nucleotides long. The record is from Ensembl. Lineage: Eukaryota; Metazoa; Chordata; Mammalia; Perissodactyla; Equidae.